RNAcentral lists this long non-coding RNA (504 nucleotides) under Pogona vitticeps (central bearded dragon). RNAcentral describes it as "lncRNA (ENSPVIG00000024527.1)". The record is from RNAcentral. Lineage: Eukaryota; Metazoa; Chordata; Lepidosauria; Squamata; Agamidae.
GGGAGAGAGAGAGGAGGGGAAUCAGGUGAGAAACCAAGCGGAAGAAAGUUGGGGGGAAAAAGUUUAAGAAGGAGACGAGGUUGCAGCGCGGAGGCAAGGAGCGAAAGCACCCCUUUCUUUCCCACCCACCCCCCAAAAAAGAACCCCUAGAUUCGAAACUGCAGGCGGCUCCUCACGGGUUCCGAGAGAAACCGGUUCAAGAUGCCCCAACGCUGGAACGUGUGAACGUGUUUGGCAGUGAGAGGCAGAUGGAGGCUACAGAGCUGCAUAUACUGUGCACCGAUGGACUGAAAGAAAACCCCCUCCGCCGUGUGAAAAAAAUAAAAGGUCUAGAAGCAGAAUUGUGAGGGAAAGGGGUGAUUUAAGAAUGAAUCUUCAUCGGUGAGGAUGGCUGUACGAGACAUGAGGACGUAUGCUCUUUAGAGAUGGGUUUAUGCCACCGGUCACUCACUGCCAAUGCCUUCCAAAAGAUGCUGUGGACAAGGACCAGUGACUGCCUGCUGU